This 468-nucleotide ribosomal RNA is filed under the name uncultured bacterium. RNAcentral's name for it is "partial 16S ribosomal RNA". It matches the Rfam family "Bacterial small subunit ribosomal RNA", at positions 28 to 507 of the family's 1533-position model. The record is from RNAcentral.
GACGAACGCUGGCGGCGUGCUUAACACAUGCAAGUCGAACGGAAAGGCCCUGCUUUUGUGGGGUGCUCGAGUGGCGAACAGGUGAGUAACACGUGAGUAACCUGCCCUUGACUUUGGGAUAACUUCAGGAAACUGGGGCUAAUACCGGAUAGGAGCUCCUGCUGCAUGGUGGGGGUUGGAAAGUUUCGGCGGUUGGGGAUGGGCUCGCGGCUUAUCAGCUUGUUGGUGGGGUAGUGGCUUACCAAGGCUUUGACGGGUAGCCGGCCUGAGAGGGUGACCGGCCACAUUGGGACUGAGAUACGGCCCAGACUCCUACGGGAGGCAGCAGUGGGGAAUAUUGCACAAUGGGCGGAAGCCUGAUGCAGCAACGCCGCGUGCGGGAUGACGGCCUUCGGGUUGUAAACCGCUUUCGCCUGUGACGAAGCGUGAGUGACGGUAAUGGGUAAAGAAGCACCGGCUAACUACGUG